This 75-nucleotide transfer RNA is filed under the name Myxococcales bacterium. Its description in RNAcentral is "tRNA-Arg". It matches the Rfam family "tRNA". Rfam says of the family: Transfer RNA (tRNA) molecules are approximately 80 nucleotides in length. Their secondary structure includes four short double-helical elements and three loops (D, anti-codon, and T loops). RNAcentral also lists the same sequence under 1 other name. Lineage: Bacteria; Pseudomonadati; Myxococcota; Myxococcia; Myxococcales. The record is from RNAcentral.
GGUCCCUUAGCUCAGGUGGAUCAGAGCGGCGGUUUCCUAAACCGCAGGCCGCAGGUUCGAGCCCUGCAGGGAUCA